UUAGGGUUAGGGUUUGUGCUAGGGUUAGGGUUAGGGUUAGGCUUUGAUUAUAGAGUUAAGCUAGAAGGGACAGGCCCUUUAUUUUGGGGUUAAGGCUGUGGCUAAGUUUUCCUAAGUUACUCCAAUCCAGAUCCCCAAUCCAAACCUUCAGAUCAACCUUCUCCUAUACAGAUCUCUAAUGCAACUUU
Long non-coding RNA from Octopus sinensis (East Asian common octopus), 188 nucleotides. RefSeq lists it as uncharacterized. The transcript is spliced from 2 exons. The record is from RefSeq and is a predicted model, not a curated record. NCBI's taxonomy places the organism in Eukaryota, Metazoa, Mollusca, Cephalopoda, Octopoda, Octopodidae.